CCCUUAGAUGUUCUGGGCCGCACGCGCGCUACACUGACGGAGGCAGUGAGCAUGUCCUUCGCCGAGAGGUGUGGGGAAUCUUGUGAGUCUCCGUCGUGCUGGGGAUAGAUGGUUGCAAUUGUCGAUCUUGAACGAGGAAUUCCUAGUAAGCGCGAGUCAUCAGCUCGCGCUGAUUACGUCCCUGCCCUUUGUACACACCGCCCGUCGCUACUACCGAUUGAAUCGUUUAGCGAGAAUUUUGGAUCGGAGCCCUGGUGGGCAGCGAUGUCCGCCUGGGAUUUACCGAGAAAUCAUUCCAGCUUGCCGAUUUAGAGGAAGUAAAAGUCGUAACA
RNAcentral lists this ribosomal RNA (332 nucleotides) under uncultured eukaryote. RNAcentral describes it as "partial 18S ribosomal RNA". It matches the Rfam family "Eukaryotic small subunit ribosomal RNA", at positions 1470 to 1796 of the family's 1831-position model. The record is from RNAcentral.